RNAcentral lists this ribosomal RNA (1270 nucleotides) under metagenome. RNAcentral describes it as "bacterial SSU rRNA". It matches the Rfam family "Bacterial small subunit ribosomal RNA", at positions 78 to 1325 of the family's 1533-position model. The record is from RNAcentral.
UUCGGGGGGCGAGUAAAGCGGCGAAAGGGUGAGUAACACGUGGGUAACCUGCCCCUUGGACCGGGAUAACCCGCCGAAAGGUGGGUUAAUACCGGAUAAGACCACGCGGACAUAUGUCCGAGCGGUAAAAGAUGGCCUCUGCUUGCAAGCUAUCACCGAGGGAUGGGCCCGCGUCCUAUUAGCUAGUUGGUAGGGUAACGGCCUACCAAGGCUAUGAUGGGUAGCCGGCCUGAGAGGGUGUACGGCCACACUGGAACUGAGACACGGUCCAGACUCCUACGGGAGGCAGCAGUGGGGAAUUUUGCGCAAUGGGGGAAACCCUGAUGCAGCAACGCCGCGUGAGUGAUGAAGGCCUUCGGGUCGUGAAACUCUUUUGGUGGGGAAGAAAUGCGUCGUGGCUAACAUCCACGGCGCUUGACGGUACCCACAGAAAAAGUCCCGGCUAACUCCGUGCCAGCCGCGGUAAUACGGAGGGGCCCAGCGUUGUUCGGAAUCAUUGGGCGUAAAGAGCGCGCAGGCGGUUGGGUCAGUCAGACGUGGAAGCCCUGGGCUUAACCCAGGAAUUGCGUUUGAUACUGCCCGGCUCGAGUUCGGGAGAGGGUGGCGGAAUUCCCAGUGUAGAGGUGAAAUUCGUAGAUAUUGGGAGGAACACCUGUGGCGAAGGCGGCUACCUGGACCGAUACUGACGCUGAGGCGCGAAAGCCAGGGGAGCGAACGGGAUUAGAUACCCCGGUAGUCCUGUGCUGUAAACGAUGAUGACUAGGUGUAGGAGGUAUCGACCCCUCCUGUGCCGCAGCUAACGCAUUAAGUCAUCCGCCUGGGGAUUACGGCCGCAAGGCUAAAACUCAAAGGAAUUGACGGGGGCCCGCACAAGCGGUGGAGCAUGUGGUUUAAUUCGACGCAACGCGAAGAACCUUACCUGGGCUUGACAUCCCGUGCAACCCGGUGAAAGCCGGUUUUCCCUUCGGGGACGCGGUGACAGGUGCUGCAUGGCUGUCGUCAGCUCGUGUCGUGAGAUGUUGGGUUAAGUCCCGCAACGAGCGCAACCCUCACCCUUAGUUGCCAUCAGGUAAUGCUGGGAACUCUAAGGGAACUGCCGGUGAUAAACCGGAGGAAGGUGGGGAUGACGUCAAGUCCUCAUGGCCUUUAUGCCCAGGGCUACACACGUGCUACAAUGGCCGGUACAAAGGGGUGCGAGCCCGCGAGGGGGAGCAAAUCCCAGAAACCCGGUCUCAGUUCGGAUUGAAGUCUGCAACUCGACUUCAUGAAG